Non-coding RNA from Ovis aries (sheep), 73 nucleotides. The record is from Rfam. Lineage: Eukaryota; Metazoa; Chordata; Mammalia; Artiodactyla; Bovidae.
UCCCUGGUGGCUCAGAUGGUAAAGAAUCUGCCUGCAGCGCAGGAGACCCAGGUUUGAUUCCUGGGUCAGAGAA